AAAUAUGCACAAUGGGCGCAAGCCUGAUGCAGCAACGCCGCGUGAGGGACGAAGGCCUUCGGGUGUAAACCUCUUUUAGCAGGGAAGAAGCGAGAGUGACGGUACCUGCAGAAAAAGCACCGGGCUAACUACGUGCCAGCAGCCGCGGUAAUACGUAGGGUGCGAGCGUUAUCCGGGAAUUAUUGGGCGUAAAGAGCUCGUAGGCGGUCUGUCGCGUCUGCUGUGAAAACCCGAGGCUCAACCUCGGGCUUGCAGUGGGUACGGGCAGACUAGAGUGCGGUAGGGGAGAUUGGAAUUCCUGGUGUAGCGGUGGAAUGCGCAGAUAUCAGGAGGAACACCGAUGGCGAAGGCAGAUCUCUGGGCCGUUACUGACGCUGAGGAGCGAAAGCGUGGGGAGCAAACAGGCUUAGAUACCCUGGUAGUCCACGCCGUAAACGUUGGGAACUAGAUGUGGGGACCAUUCCACGGUCUCCGUGUCGUAGCUAACGCAUUAAGUUCCCCGCCUGGGGAGUACGGCCGCAAGGCUAAAACUCAAAGGAAUUGACGGGGGCCCGCACAAGCGGCGGAGCAUGCGGAUUAAUUCGAUGCAACGCGAAGAACCUUACCAAGGCUUGACAUAUACGAGAACGCACUGGAGACAGUGAACUCUUUGGACACUCGUAAACAGGUGGUGCAUGGUUGUCGUCAGCUCGUGUCGUGAGAUGUUGGGUUAAGUCCCGCAACGAGCGCAACCCUCGUCCUAUGUUGCCAGCACGUCAUGGUGGGAACUCAUGGGAUACUGCCGGGGUCAACUCGGAGGAAGGUGGGGAUGAGGUCAAAUCAUCAUGCCCCUUAUGUCUUGGGCUUCACGCAUGCUACAAUGGCCGGUACAAUGGGCUGCGAUACCGUAAGGUGGAGCGAAUCCCAAAAAGCCGGUCUCAGUUCGGAUUGAGGUCUGCAACUCGACCUCAUGAAGUCGGAGUCGCUAGUAAUCGCAGAUCAGCAACGCUGCGGUGAAUACGUUCCCGGGCCUUGUACACACCGCCCGUCAAGUCAUGAAAGUCGGUAACACCCGAAGCCGGUGGCCUAACCCUUGUGGGAGGGG
Molecule: ribosomal RNA, 1084 nt
Filed under: Agrococcus sp.
Lineage: Bacteria; Bacillati; Actinomycetota; Actinomycetes; Micrococcales; Microbacteriaceae
Description: bacterial SSU rRNA
Rfam family: Bacterial small subunit ribosomal RNA
Source: RNAcentral